Molecule: ribosomal RNA, 492 nt
Filed under: uncultured bacterium
Lineage: Bacteria
Description: partial 16S ribosomal RNA
Rfam family: Bacterial small subunit ribosomal RNA
Source: RNAcentral
AGUGAACGCUGGCGGUGUGCCUAACACAUGCAAGUCGAGCGGCAACAUAGUAAGAGUGCUCCUUUACGGUUAGCGAGUGGCGGGUGGGUGAGAAGUACAUCGGCUACCUCUAUUUCGUGAGUGAUAACGGAGGGCAACUUACGCUGACACCUAACAUGUCCAACGGCUUAAAUCUAGAGAGCUUCGUAGUUUUGCUAUCUCAAAUAGCUGGCGUCGUAUUAGCUAGUUGGCGUGGUAAAGGCCCACCAAGGCAACGAUCCGUAGCUGGUCUGAGAGGAUGAUCAGCCACACUGGAACUGAGACACGGUCCAGACUCCUACGGGAGGCAGCAGUGGGGAAUAUUGGGCAAUGGGCGCAAGCCUGAUCCAGCCAUGCCGCGUGAGUGAAGAAGGCCUUCGGGUCGUAAAGCUCUUUUGUUAGGGAAGAACAGAAGUAGAUUAAUCCGCGGAUGUUCUGACGGUACCUAAACAGUAAGCAACGGCUAACUUCGUG